GAUGAAGAACGUAGCGAAAUGCGAUAAGUAGUGUGAAUUGCAGAAUUCAGUGAAUCAUCGAAUCUUUGAACGCACAUUGCGCCCCUUGGUAUUCCAUGGGGCAUGCCUGUUCGAGCGUCAUUUGUACCCUCAAGCUAAGCUUGGUGUUGGGUGUUUGUCCACUCCCUCGUGUUUGGACUCGCCUUAAAACAAUUGGCAGCCAGUGUUUUGGUAUUGAAGCGCAGCACAAUUUGCGAUUCUAGCCUAGAAUACUAGCAUCCAUCAAGUCAUUUUUAACGCUUGACCUUGGAUCAGGUAGGGAUACCCGCUGAACUUAAGCAUAUCAAUAAGCGGAGGA
Molecule: unclassified non-coding RNA, 337 nt
Filed under: soil metagenome
Description: partial contains 5.8S ribosomal RNA, internal transcribed spacer 2, and large subunit ribosomal RNA
Rfam family: 5.8S ribosomal RNA (bases 1-120)
Source: RNAcentral